UACGUGGGUAAAUCUCUGUUCGGGGCUCUCAGCUCUGAAGGCUGUGUAUUUGAUUCUUCUCUCUUUUCUUCUUUAUUAGUCUUACUAGCAGUCCAUCAAUUUUGUUGAUCUUUUCAAAAAAACAGCUCCUGGAUUCAUUGAUAUUUUGAAGGGUUUUUUGUGUCUCUAUCUCCUUCAGUUCUGCUCUGAUCUUAGUUAUUUCUUGCCUUCUGCUAGCUUUUGAAUGUGUUUGCUCUUGCUUCUCUAGUUCUUUUAAUUGUGAUGUUAGGGUGUCAAUUUUAGAUCUUUCCUGCUUUCUCCUGUGGGCAUUUAGAACUAUAAAUUUCCCUCUACACACUGCUUUAAAUGUGUCCCAGAGAGUCUGGUAUGUUGCCUCUUUGUUCUCAUUGGUUUCAAAGAACAUCUUUAUUUCUGCCUUCAUUUCAUUAUGUACCCAGUAGUCAUUCAGGAGCAGGUUGUUCAGUUUCCAUGUAGUUGAGCAGUUUUGAGUGAGUUUCUUAAUCCUGAGUUCUAGUUUGAUUGCACUGUGGCCUGAGAGACAG
This 542-nucleotide long non-coding RNA is filed under the name Pan troglodytes (chimpanzee). RNAcentral describes it as "long non-coding RNA NONPTRT008936". Lineage: Eukaryota; Metazoa; Chordata; Mammalia; Primates; Hominidae. The record is from RNAcentral.